This 495-nucleotide long non-coding RNA is filed under the name Rattus norvegicus (Norway rat). RNAcentral describes it as "long non-coding RNA NONRATT011480". The record is from RNAcentral. Lineage: Eukaryota; Metazoa; Chordata; Mammalia; Rodentia; Muridae.
UUGUUUGUGUGUGCUUUGGAGCGUGUUGAUACUCUGUUAAGACAGCUUAAUCUUUAAAAGUGUCAUGUGGUCACAUAACUCGUUGGCAAAGUAGUGUCUUCUACUCGGCUCCCAGUGUCUGCUCUAUCUAACUUAAUUUGUCUGUUUUUUAAUUUAUAGAUAGUUGGUUGCCACUUUAAGUCUAUUCCAGUGAAUGAAAAAGACACCUUAACAUGUUUCAUCUACUCAGUGAGGAACGACAAGAACAAAUCAGAUCUCAAGGCGGACAGUGGUGUCCACUAGGAGAGAUGCCCGCACGUAGACGUCUGCUGUCAAGAGUGUUUACUGUUCUUCCGAUGUAGAAACGUUCUUGUGUAUUUUUUCUACAGAGGAUUUUCUUUGGCUUUUUGUUUUUGUUGCUGUCGUUUUUGAUCCUGAUAAUUAGUUGGAAACUCAUAUAAACUGAGCUUCCUAGAUUAAACAUAUUUUAAAUAAAGGUUAUUACUAUUACAGCUA